Molecule: ribosomal RNA, 1948 nt
Filed under: Xanthomonas citri pv. citri
Lineage: Bacteria; Pseudomonadati; Pseudomonadota; Gammaproteobacteria; Lysobacterales; Lysobacteraceae
Description: partial 23S ribosomal RNA
Rfam family: Bacterial large subunit ribosomal RNA
Source: RNAcentral
GUUAUAUGGUCAAGCGAAUAAGCGCACACGGUGGAUGCCUAGGCGGUCAGAGGCGAUGAAGGACGUGGUAGCCUGCGAAAAGUGUCGGGGAGCUGGCAACAAGCUUUGAUCCGGCAAUAUCCGAAUGGGGAAACCCACUGCUUCGGCAGUAUCCUGCAGUGAAUUCAUAGCUGCUGGAAGCGAACCCGGUGAACUGAAAUAUCUAAGUAACCGGAGGAAAAGAAAUCAACCGAGAUUCCCUAAGUAGUGACGAGCGAACGGGGAGCAGCCCUUAAGCUGGAAUGGCUUUAGAAAAACAAUCUGGAAAGAUUGGCCAUAGAAGGUGAUAGCCCUGUAUUUAAAAGGGCCACUCCAGUGAAGACGAGUAGGGCGGGGCACGUGAAACCCUGUCUGAAUAUGGGGGGACCAUCCUCCAAGGCUAAAUACUCUUGACCGACCGAUAGUGAACCAGUACCGUGAGGGAAAGGCGAAAAGAACCCCGGAGAGGGGAGUGAAAUAGAUCCUGAAACCGUGUGCGUACAAGCAGUAGGAGCUCGCAAGAGUGACUGCGUACCUUUUGUAUAAUGGGUCAGCGACUUACUGUUCGUGGCAAGCUUAACCGUAUAGGGGAGGCGAAGGGAAACCGAGUCUGAUAAGGGCGCAUAGUCGCGGGCAGUAGACCCGAAACCGGGUGAUCUAGUCAUGGCCAGGGUGAAGGUGCCGUAACAGGUACUGGAGGCCCGAACCCACGUCUGUUGCAAAAGACGGGGAUGAGCUGUGAUUAGGAGUGAAAAGCUAAUCGAACCCGGAGAUAGCUGGUUCUCCUCGAAAGCUAUUUAGGUAGCGCCUCAUAUGUAUCCUCUCGGGGGUAGAGCACUGUUAUGGCUAGGGGGUCAUCGCGACUUACCAAACCAUUGCAAACUCCGAAUACCGAGACGGACUGUAUGGGAGACACACGGCGGGUGCUAACGUCCGUCGUGAAAAGGGAAACAACCCAGACCCACAGCUAAGGUCCCAAAUUCACUGCUAAGUGGAAAACGAUGUGGAAAGGCAUAGACAGCCAGGAGGUUGGCUUAGAAGCAGCCACCCUUUAAAGAAAGCGUAAUAGCUCACUGGUCGAGUCGGUCUGCGCGGAAGAUUUAACGGGGCUAAGCAGUGAACCGAAGCUUGGGGUGCAUAAAACGUGUUUUAUGCGCGGUAGAGGAGCGUUCCGUAAGCCUGCGAAGGUGGAUUGAGAAGUCUGCUGGAGGUAUCGGAAGUGCGAAUGCUGACAUGAGUAACGAUAAUGCGGGUGAAAAGCCCGCACGCCGAAAGCCCAAGGUUUCCUUGCGCAACGUUAAUCGACGCAGGGUUAGUCGGUCCCUAAGGCGAGGGCUAAAGCCGUAGUCGAUGGGAAGCAGGUUAAUAUUCCUGCACCUCGCGUGAGUGCGAUGGAGGGACGGAGAAGGUUAGGUGUACCGGGCGUUGGUUGUCCCGGGGAAAGGCGGUAGGUUUGGAUCUUUGGCAAAUCCGGGAUCCUUUAAGACCGAGCACCGAGACGAGCCUUUUUGGCGAAGUCACUGAUACCACGCUUCCAGGAAAAGCUCCUAAGCUUCAGCUCACGAAGACCGUACCGUAAACCGACACAGGUGGGUAGGAUGAGAAUUCUCAGGCGCUUGAGAGAACUCGGGUGAAGGAACUAGGCAACAUGGCACCGUAACUUCGGGAGAAGGUGCACCCUUUUUGGUGGCUCAUGCGAGCUAUAGCUGAAGAGGGUCGCAGAAACCAGGCCGCUGCGACUGUUUAUCAAAAACACAGCACUCUGCAAACACGAAAGUGGACGUAUAGGGUGUGACGCCUGCCCGGUGCUGGAAGGUUAAUUGAUGGGGUCAGCCGCAAGGCGAAGCUCUUGAUCGAAGCCCCAGUAAACGGCGGCCGUAACUAUAACGGUCCUAAGGUAGCGAAAUUCCUUGUCGGGUAAGUUCCGACC